RNAcentral lists this ribosomal RNA (253 nucleotides) under uncultured bacterium. RNAcentral's name for it is "partial 16S ribosomal RNA". It matches the Rfam family "Bacterial small subunit ribosomal RNA", at positions 524 to 776 of the family's 1533-position model. The record is from RNAcentral.
UACAUGGGGUGCAAACGUUGCUCGGAAUUAUUGGGCGUAAAGCGCACGUAGGCGGUUCGUUAAGUCGGAUGUGAAAGCCCUCGGCUCAACUGAGGAAGUGCACCCGAAACUGGCGAGCUUGAGUACGAAAGAGGAUCGCGGAAUUCCCGGUGUAGAGGUGAAAUUCGUAGAUAUCGGGAGGAACACCGGUGGCGAAGGCGGGUCUCUGGGCAGUAACUGACGCUGAGGAGCGAAAGCGUGGGGAGCGAACAGG